Molecule: small nucleolar RNA, 106 nt
Organism: Gossypium arboreum
Lineage: Eukaryota; Viridiplantae; Streptophyta; Magnoliopsida; Malvales; Malvaceae
Rfam family: Plant small nucleolar RNA R71
About the family: R71 is a member of the C/D box family of snoRNAs containing the C (UGAUGA) and D (CUGA) box motifs. Multiple nearly identical copies of this snoRNA have been identified in Arabidopsis, and it is thought to function as a 2'-O-ribose methylation guide for 18S ribosomal RNA.
Source: Rfam
AACCUAUGGUGAGGGCACCUUCUUUAAAGGUCCUUGUAUCUCUCCCAUGCAUCGUAGAAUGUUUCUAAUCCAUCUGCACAAAAGAAGAGAUAUCAUUACGUAAUUU